UACACCGCAGGGUGUUGAAAUACACCUAACCAGUGGAAAUAAUACCGAUGCAGGCAGGGUCGAGUAAGAAUAUCAGAAAGACCUUGAGGUGAUAAGA
This is a non-coding RNA of Clostridiales bacterium 45_37, 97 nucleotides long. NCBI's taxonomy places the organism in Bacteria, Bacillati, Bacillota, Clostridia, Eubacteriales. The record is from Rfam.